GACGAACGCUGGCGGCGUGCUUAACACAUGCAAGUCGAACGAUGAACCCGGAGCUUGCUCCGGUGGAUUAGUGGCGAACGGAUGAGUAACACGUGAGCAACCUGCCCUUGACUCUGGGAUAACUGCGGGAAACUGUAGCUAAUACCGGAUACGACCCUCGGCGGCAUCGCCAGGGGGUGGAAAGAAUUUCGGUCAAGGAUGGACUCGCGGCCUAUCAGCUAGUUGGUGAGGUAGCGGCUCACCAAGGCGACGACGGGUAGCCGGCCUGAGAUGGUGACCGGCCACACUGGGACUGAGACACGGCCCAGACUCCUACGGGAGGCAGCAGUGGGGAAUGUUGCACAAUGGGCGCAAGCCUGAUGCAGCAACGCCGCGUGAGGGAUGACGGCCUUCGGGUUGUAAACCUCUUUUAGUAGGGAAGAAGCGAAAGUGACGGUACCUGCAGAAAAAGCACCGGCUAACUACGUGCCAGCCGCCGCAGUAA
Molecule: ribosomal RNA, 484 nt
Filed under: uncultured bacterium
Lineage: Bacteria
Description: partial 16S ribosomal RNA
Rfam family: Bacterial small subunit ribosomal RNA
Source: RNAcentral